Alexandromys fortis (reed vole) is the source of this 2399-nucleotide long non-coding RNA. RefSeq lists it as uncharacterized. NCBI's taxonomy places the organism in Eukaryota, Metazoa, Chordata, Mammalia, Rodentia, Cricetidae. The record is from RefSeq and is a predicted model, not a curated record. The transcript has 3 exons.
UAAAGAUUUCUUCCUAAAGUGGCCUCUUUGAUUAGGGCCCCUUCUUUUGCCAACUAAACAAAGUAACUGAGAAAAGUGGCGUUUAAGAGGUCAUUUCCCUUUUGUUUAUGGUUCUAGAAGACCUGUCCUGUCAUUUUCCGUGGAGGAAUGCCAGUGAAACUCCCUUCCCUGGGGCAAGCUGACGGCUCCUCCCACUUUUCAGAGGAGUCCUGGGCCUGAGGAGGAGGCUGCAGCCUUUCUGUGGGAGGAGUGGGAGAUUACCCAGAAACACACUUGCUCAAAGGACAGCAGACCUUCGGAAGCAGGUUGAAGGGACAUCCCAGAAACUGAGGUGAGCAGUUACCAGACGGCAUAAAGAAAAAAAAAAUGAAGGAAAAGCCAUCCACUUCCUGAACUGCCGCUCCUCUCUCCUCCUCUCACUUUCUCUGGAGACAGCAACUUAAAAAUAGCUCAGCCUCACGUGACCAAGUGGCAUCCUGGAUUCAGGAGGAGUUUUGAAUGUUUGUUUUAGAGUCUGCCUUACCCACAUAAGUGUGUGAGUAUGGGCAGCCUUGGCCUCUGAAUCUCGACAAAAGGUCAAAUGACCUCAGUGCAAGAGGAAAGGAGACAGUACUCUUUGGCGGAACUAUGAUGAAUGACCCAUGGCAUGAUCUGACCCAACAGAAACAUGGAGGAUGACCCACACACGUUACGAGAAGGCCCUUUGUCUUCAGUGGGUAAAGCAGAGCGUGAGGAUAAACAUUUACUAAGAUCCUAUCUUUGCCGCUUCCAAUGUGAAGUUCCCUUAUGUCAGGCUUUUCAUAAAAGGAGAUGAUAAUUGAAGUGACCACAGGACCAUGUGUGUAGUUGAAUUUAUAACACAUAAAGUGAAUGUUUUGUACCUUACGGUAUUUUAUUAAUUACAGAUAGAUGGGAUCCGUGGACAUUCCUAGAAACAUGGAUUUUCCCUUCCUGCCCAAACUGAGAUCAUUUUUUUUUCUUUAUUUUUUUGGUACGGUAUUUGGGGGAGGGGAGGAGUUGGGAAAGAGUCUCACAUUUAGCCCGAACUGGCCUUGAGCUCAAAGCAGUCCUCUUGCCCCAGCCUCCCGAGUGCUAAGCUGUAAGGUGAAAUUGCCUUGCCUUGCUUACCAUUUAUUCUCUAUAAUUUUUAUAGUGCAAUGCCACAGCUUAAAGGAAGUAUUUGCUACUACUUACUGACCAACCUUGUGUGCACCAGAGGCUUCCCUGGUCACAGAGAGCAGCCUGGGACACUGUUGCAGAUGGUUCGCUAUUGUGGGUUUCAUCCAUCGUCUAGUCUCCUGAGCCGCUGGAUUUGACUCUUCCUAGAUUAAAGCGAACUCUUAAAGGAAUACGUUUGAGUUUGCAGCCCUGACGUUCUUGAGUAAAUCUGCACAUUUUAGAUUGAUUUGGGUCAGGCUAAUCUUUCCCCUUCUUGCCAUGAAAUGUUUAACCACUGGAUAAACCAGUAAAAACAUUGGGUAAGCCUGGAUGGGCAUGGUCUUCCCAAGAACCCUCAUUGAAAACUAGGUUUGGUUUAAGAUUUUUGAAAAUCUUGAGCUGGCUCCCUUUGCAAGGUUCUUGUCGAUUGUGUUGGGUGGGCUACACAGUCUAGGGGUUUGUAACCCACCCGCAAUCAAGUUACUCCAGGGUCUCGGAGGGGCGCUACCUGGAAGGGAAUGAGCUAAGACAGAAGAAGGAGGCCAAGCAGUUUUGUCAAAGCCUCCGUUUAUUAGGGACGGGUUACAGUUUAUAUAUGGUAAGGAAUGGGGGGCAGGGCAAGGGAUCUCGCCGCCGAGUGGUUCCGGUCAUGUAGGCCAGGUCGGACAGACAGGCCAGAAGUCACUGGUUGCCACACCUAGUUCCCUGGAUAGCUGGAAUGUGAGGUGGGUUCCGCUUAACAGAUUAACAGUUAAUUGGAUGUGCGGUUCUCUGCAGACCCCCUAGGGUGAUGGUUCCUGUAAUGAUUGGGGGGAAAUGGCUCCUGACAGGUUCUUGCCUUGAAAGUGUGAGGAUGUGAAUUUGGACCCCGAGGCCCAUGUCAAAAACUGGCUGUGUACCACAUGCCUGUGAUCCAGCAAUGGUGACAUGGGAGGUAAGGCCCAGAGGCCUGGAAGCACGACCUACACGACAAGGCUCCUGGACAGUGAAAGACUCUGUCUCCAGGAAAAGGUAGAAGGCACCGAAGGACUGACCCCUGAGCUUGUCCUCUGAUCUCUGUGUGCACACCAUACUACCAGACCCCAGUACAAAACUAUCAAGAAAAUUUUUUGACUACUUUGUUAAACAGACAUUAAACGUGUUAUUGGUCCUGAUAAUCUAUUACAUUUAUCUAUUAUGUGUGUAUGUGUGUGGAGGUGUACAGGAGGCAGUGUCCUGGGAGGUGGGGAGAGAUGGAGCUC